GAUGAAGAACGUAGCGAAAUGCGAUAAGUAAUGUGAAUUGCAGAAUCCAGUGAAUCAUCGAAUCUUUGAACGCACAUUGCGCCCGCCAGCAUUCUGGCGGGCAUGCCUGUUCGAGCGUCAUUUCAACCCUCGACCUCCCUUUGGGGAAGUCGGCGUUGGGGACCGGCAGCACACCGCCGGCCCUGAAAUGGAGUGGCGGCCCGUCCGCGGCGACCUCUGCGUAGUAAUCCAACUCGCACCGGAACCCCAACGCGGCCACGCCGUAAAACACCCCACUUCUGAACGUUGACCUCGAAUCAGGUAGGACUACCCGCUGAACUUAAGCAUAUCAAUAAGCGGAGGA
This 343-nucleotide unclassified non-coding RNA is filed under the name soil metagenome. RNAcentral describes it as "partial contains 5.8S ribosomal RNA, internal transcribed spacer 2, and large subunit ribosomal RNA". The stretch from base 1 to 120 matches the Rfam family "5.8S ribosomal RNA", at positions 35 to 154 of the family's 154-position model. The record is from RNAcentral.